GUGCCAGCCGCCGCGGUAAUACGAAGGGUGCAAGCGUUACUCGGAAUUACUGGGCGUAAAGCGUGCGUAGGUGGUUUGUUAAGUCUGCUGUGAAAGCCCCGGGCUCAACCUGGGAAUGGCAGUGGAUACUGGCAAGCUAGAGUGCGAUAGAGGGGUGUGGAAUUCCCGGUGUAGCGGUGAAAUGCGUAGAGAUCGGGAGGAACACCAGUGGCGAAGGCGGCACCCUGGAUCAGCACUGACACUCAGGCACGAAAGCGUGGGGAGCAAACAGGAUUAGAUACCCUGGUAGUCC
This 292-nucleotide ribosomal RNA is filed under the name uncultured bacterium. RNAcentral describes it as "partial 16S ribosomal RNA". It matches the Rfam family "Bacterial small subunit ribosomal RNA", at positions 505 to 796 of the family's 1533-position model. The record is from RNAcentral.